CAUGAACGCUGGCGGCGUGCCUAAUACAUGCAAGUCGAGCGAACAGAUUAGUAUCUUUUUCCUCUGACGUUUGCGUUGGACGUUUUAGUAACACUUUGAUAACCUACCUAUACGACUUGGUUAACUUCGUGCAACCUGCGCUAAUACCGGAUUUUAUAUUUAACCGCAUGUUUCCCUCGUGAAAGACGCUUUUGCUGUCACUUUUAGAUUUAUCCGCGCCGCAUUUGCUAGUUGGUAAGGUAACGGCGUAUCAAGUCGACGAUGCGUAGCCGACCUGGGAGGGUGAUCGGCCACACUAGAACUAAGACGCAGUCCAGACUCCUACGGGAGGCAGCAGUAGGGAAUCUACCGCCAUGGACGAAAGCCUGACGGAGGAAAGCAGCAUGAGUGAUGAAGGUCAUAGGAUCGUAGAGCGCUGUUAUGAGGGAAGAAAGAAUGUGUAAGUAGCUAUGCACGUCUUGACGGUACCUAAUCAGAAAGCCAAGGCUAACUACGUG
Molecule: ribosomal RNA, 497 nt
Filed under: uncultured bacterium
Lineage: Bacteria
Description: partial 16S ribosomal RNA
Rfam family: Bacterial small subunit ribosomal RNA
Source: RNAcentral